GACGAACGCUGGCGGCGUGCUUAACACAUGCAAGUCGAACGGUAAGGCCCUUCGGGGUACACGAGUGGCGAACGGGUGAGUAACACGUGGGUGAUCUGCCCUGCACUUCGGGAUAAGCCUGGGAAACUGGGUCUAAUACCGGAUAGGACCCUGGGAUGCAUGUCCUGGGGUGGAAAGCUUUUGCGGUGUGGGAUGGGCCCGCGGCCUAUCAGCUUGUUGGUGGGGUGAUGGCCUACCAAGGCGACGACGGGUAGCCGGCCUGAGAGGGUGACCGGCCACACUGGGACUGAGUUACGGCCCAGACUCCUACGGGAGGCAGCAGUGGGGAAUAUUGCACAAGGGGCGCAAGCCUGAUGCAGCGACGCCGCGUGAGGGAUGACGGCCUUCGGGUUGUAAACCUCUUUCAGCACCGACGAAGCGCAAGUGACGGUAGGUGCAGAAGAAGGACCGGCCAACUACGUGCCAGCCGCCGCGGUAA
RNAcentral lists this ribosomal RNA (478 nucleotides) under uncultured bacterium. Its description in RNAcentral is "partial 16S ribosomal RNA". It matches the Rfam family "Bacterial small subunit ribosomal RNA", at positions 28 to 523 of the family's 1533-position model. The record is from RNAcentral.